GUGGAUUAGAUACCCUGGUAGUCCACGCUGUAAACGUUGAUCACUCGAUGUCGGCGAUAUACUGUCGGUGUCCAAGCGAAAGUGUUAAGUGAUCCACCUGGGGAGUACGUUCGCAAGAAUGAAACUCAAAGGAAUUGACGGGGGCCCGCACAAGCGGUGGAGCAUGUGGUUUAAUUCGAUGAUACGCGAGGAACCUUACCUGGGCUUGAAAUCAGUAUGACAGAUCUGGAAACAGAUCCUUCUUCGGACAUAUUGGUAGGUGCUGCACGGCCGUCGUCAACU
Molecule: ribosomal RNA, 282 nt
Filed under: uncultured bacterium
Lineage: Bacteria
Description: partial 16S ribosomal RNA
Rfam family: Bacterial small subunit ribosomal RNA
Source: RNAcentral